GUUUGGUCAAGAGUUCAAAUUUAACGCAUUCCCUUAGAUGAUUAGACGUAACUCCAUCGUAUUAUACUUGGAAAGGGUAAAGCAAUGAGAUAAAGGGUAAACCUAGAAUAACUUCGUUUGUGAUAUUCUGAAUUAAAACAAAAGACGUUUUAAAACAUAUUUUGUUUUGGCAUACGUGGGCUUUGGAUAAUUCAUAAUUUAACUUUAAAGCUUUACCAGAUUCUGUUCCUAAAACUUCUUUUUACUUUUUGUAAAACUGGGUUGGAACAAGACCUUCUUGA
This 281-nucleotide long non-coding RNA is filed under the name Prunus persica (peach). Its description in RNAcentral is "long non-coding RNA (PPER_LNC000685)". The record is from RNAcentral. Lineage: Eukaryota; Viridiplantae; Streptophyta; Magnoliopsida; Rosales; Rosaceae.